GAGGAGCUGUCCGAGGAGCUGUCCUCACAGAUGUGAGGAGCUGUCCGAGGAGCUGUCCUCACAUAUGUGAGGAGCUGUCCUCACAAACUCCAUUACAAGAUGGCACCCGCAUCCAGCAGAACGCACCUAGUAAAAAAGGCAAUACGCAGGCGCCUGGUAACUUCCCUACUCAAAGGGACACGUACGUUUUGGUACGUCAUCUGGCAUAAUUGGCAGCAACCAGUCAGAGAGUGACACGUCCUAGGCGAGGAUAGUUUCCUAUAUAAGGGACGGUUAUUCCUCACUCGGCGUCUCCGCAUUGUAAGCUUAUGCUCUCCCUCUCAAGAUGCAUUAAAGCUUUUCUGCAGUAGGAUCCUGUGUGUGCCGUGUCGUUCCUGCUGGCAAGACGUAGCGCGGGACAUCUGGUGCCAAAAACUCGGGAAAGACCUCGCCAUCGUCAGCACCUUCGGAGAUCCCUUGGCGACAAGGAGGAUUCAGAACUGCAGCAUCUGUUACAGAAUUGGACCUCGGAGUUUGAACAGACACUUCGAGAGCUGAGAGCGACCAUCAUUCAAGUAAAUUCUACCCGACUGGACCUGUCUUUGACGGAGGGAUUGUCGUCCUGGAUCACCUCAGCAGUCUCUUAUUUCAAGGAAUGGGUGGGAGUGGGACUUUUUGGAGUGAUCCUCUGCUGUGGAUUAGUGUUACUCCUCUGGUUGCUUUGCAAAUUGAGAUCUCAAACAAGAAAGGACAAAGUAGUGAUCACCCAGGUGCUUGUAGCCCUUGAACAAGGAGCGUCAGCUGAUAUCUGGUUGACCAUGCUCAAGCAACAGGUCGCCGGCUGGACAGCUCUUGCACUCCUAGAACCUCGGUUCAUUGCACAGGAUUAGAGUGUCCGGCUUGAGCAGCCCAUGAGGGGUGACGAGCUUAGCAUCGCACAGGGAAGUUCUACCAAAUACGCUCCCUGGAAGGCAUGUCAUAUUACAUGAGGGUUUCUGCUCCAGUUUUCCCUCCCUCGAAAAAUGGCAGUGCGACGGGUCGGGAGUGCCCUGGGUCCCAACAACAGCCUAAGGGUAUCUCUCUUGUACAGGUUCGCCAACUUUGUACGAGGAUAUGACCUCUGUCUUCGCCCUCCUAUAUCUGGGUGUCCUGUUUGCUUAAAAAUACAGAAAAGGGGGAGAUGUAAGGAGCUGUCCGAGGAGCUGUCCUCACAGAUGUGAGGAGCUGUCCGAGGAGCUGUCCUCACAUAUGUGAGGAGCUGUCCUCACAAACUCCAUUACAAGAUGGCACCCGCAUCCAGCAGAACGCACCUAGUAAAAAAGGCAAUACGCAGGCGCCUGGUAACUUCCCUACUCAAAGGGACACGUACGUUUUGGUACGUCAUCUGGCAUAAUUGGCAGCAACCAGUCAGAGAGUGACACGUCCUAGGCGAGGAUAGUUUCCUAUAUAAGGGACGGUUAUUCCUCACUCGGCGUCUCCGCAUUGUAAGCUUAUGCUCUCCCUCUCAAGACGCAUUAAAGCUUUUCUGCAGUAG
This is a non-coding RNA of Rattus norvegicus (Norway rat), 1513 nucleotides long. The record is from RefSeq and is a predicted model, not a curated record. Lineage: Eukaryota; Metazoa; Chordata; Mammalia; Rodentia; Muridae.